This 414-nucleotide ribosomal RNA is filed under the name uncultured prokaryote. RNAcentral describes it as "bacterial SSU rRNA". It matches the Rfam family "Bacterial small subunit ribosomal RNA", at positions 505 to 918 of the family's 1533-position model. The record is from RNAcentral.
GUGUCAGCAGCCGCGGUAAUACGUAGGUCCCGAACGUUGCGCGAAUUUACUGGGCGUAAAGGGUCCGUAGGCGGUCUGGUAAGUGGAAGGUGAAAUCCUGGGGCUCAACUUCAGAAUUGCCUUCCAAACUGCCGGACUUGAGGCAGGGAGAGGUCGGCGGCAUUCCCGGUGUAGCGGUGAAAUGCGUAGAUAUCGGGAGGAACACCAGUGGCGAAGGCGGCCGACUGGAACUGACCUGACGCUGAGGGACGAAAGCCAGGGAAGCGAACCGGAUUAGAUACCCGAGUAGUCCUGGCCGUAAACGAUGGAUGCUAGAUGUGGGCGGGGAGACCCGUCCGUGUCGCAAGCUAACGCGAUAAGUGGGCCGCCUGGGGAGUAUGCCCGCAAGGGUGAAACUUAAAGGAAUUGACGGGG